This 469-nucleotide ribosomal RNA is filed under the name uncultured bacterium. RNAcentral's name for it is "bacterial SSU rRNA". It matches the Rfam family "Bacterial small subunit ribosomal RNA", at positions 328 to 793 of the family's 1533-position model. The record is from RNAcentral.
CAUCGAGACUCCUACGGGAGGCAGCAGUGAGGAAUAUUGGUCAAUGGAGGGAACUCUGAACCAGCCAUCCCGCGUGUAGGAAGACGGCCUUUAUGGGUUGUAAACUACUUUUAUACAGGAAGAAACGUACCCUCGUGAGGGUGCCUGACGGUACUGUAGGAAUAAGCACCGGCUAACUCCGUGCCAGCAGCCGCGGUAAUACGGAGGGUGCGAGCGUUAUCCGGAUUUAUUGGGUUUAAAGGGUCCGUAGGCGGAUUAAUAAGUCAGUGGUGAAAUCCCAUCGCUUAACGAUGGAACUGCCAUUGAUACUGUUAGUCUUGAAUGAGGGUGCAGUGGUUGGAAUGUGUAGUGUAGCGGUGAAAUGCAUAGAUAUUACACAGAACACCGAUUGCGAAGGCAGAUCACUAACCCUAAAUUGACGCUGAGGGACGAAAGCGUGGGGAGCGAACAGGAUUAGAUACCCUGGUAA